Molecule: ribosomal RNA, 257 nt
Filed under: uncultured bacterium
Lineage: Bacteria
Description: partial 16S ribosomal RNA
Rfam family: Bacterial small subunit ribosomal RNA
Source: RNAcentral
CACGUAGGGUGCGAGCGUUGUCCGGAAUUAUUGGGCGUAAAGAGCUCGUAGGCGGUGUGUCGCGUCGGCCGUGAAAACCUGCAGCUUAACUGUGGGCGUGCGGUCGAUACGGGGCAUCACUGGAGUUCGGCAGGGGAGACUGGAAUUCCCUGGUGUAGCGGUGAAAUGCGCAGAUAUCAGGAGGAACACCGGUGGCGAAGGCGGGUCUCUGGGCCGAUACUGACGCUGGAGGAGCGAAAGCGUGGGGAGCAAACAGG